UGGCGACCGGCAAACGGGUGCGGAACACGUACAGAACCUUCCUUCGAGCGGGGAAUAGCCCAUAGAAAUGUGGAUUAAUACCCCAUAGGAUAGUGGAGUGGCAUCACUCAGCUAUUAAAGAUUUAUCACUUGAAGAUGGCUGUGCGUCUGAUUAGGUAGUUGGUGAGGUAACGGCUCACCAAGCCAACGAUCAGUAACUGGUGUGAGAGCACGACCAGUCACACGGGCACUGAGACACGGGCCCGACUCCUACGGGAGGCAGCAGUAAGGAAUAUUGGUCAAUGGACGCAAGUCUGAACCAGCCAUGCCGCGUGGAGGAUGAAGGUCCUCUGGAUUGUAAACUUCUUUUAUCUGGGACGAAAAAGGGGAAAUCUUUCUCAACUGACGGUACCAGAUGAAUAAGCACCGGCUAACUCCGUGCCAGCAGCCGCGGUAAUACGGAGGGUGCAAGCGUUAUCCGGAUUCACUGGGUUUAAAGGGUGCGUAGGCGGGUGUGUAAGUCCGUGGUGAAAUCUCCGAGCUUAACUCGGAAACUGCCAUGGGUACUGCAUGUCUUGAAUGUUGUGGAGGUGAGCGGAAUAUGUCAUGUAGCGGUGAAAUGCUUAGAUAUGACAUAGAACACCAAUUGCGAAGGCAGCUCACUACACAGGAAUUGACGCUGAGGCACGAAAGCGUGAGGAUCAAACAGGAUUAGAUACCCUUGGUAGUCCACGCCCUAAACGAUGAUACUUCGACUACGCGAACACAGUGUGUGUCUGACGAAGCAUAAGUAAUCACCUGGAAGUACAUCGCAAGAUUGAAACUMAAGGAUUGACGGGGUCCCCCAACC
RNAcentral lists this ribosomal RNA (829 nucleotides) under uncultured bacterium. Its description in RNAcentral is "bacterial SSU rRNA". It matches the Rfam family "Bacterial small subunit ribosomal RNA", at positions 89 to 930 of the family's 1533-position model. The record is from RNAcentral.